RNAcentral lists this ribosomal RNA (355 nucleotides) under Candidatus Epulonipiscium sp. RNAcentral's name for it is "bacterial SSU rRNA". It matches the Rfam family "Bacterial small subunit ribosomal RNA", at positions 1 to 348 of the family's 1533-position model. Lineage: Bacteria; Bacillati; Bacillota; Clostridia; Lachnospirales; Lachnospiraceae. The record is from RNAcentral.
UAACAUGAGAGUUUGAUCCUGGCUCAGGAUGAACGCUGGCGGCGUGCUUAACACAUGCAAGUCGAACGGAGAUAAUAGGAAGGUUUACCGGAAUAUUAUCUUAGUGGCGGACGGGUGAGUAACGCGUGGAUAACCUACCUUGCACAGGGGGAUAACAACGAGAAAUCGUUGCUAAUACCGCAUAAGUGUGAUCUUCGCAUGGAGAUUACAUGAAAGUUCCGGCGGUGCAAGAUGGGUCCGCGUCUGAUUAGCUAGUUGGUGAGAUAACAGCCCACCAAGGCAACGAUCAGUAGCCGGCUUGAGAGAGUGGACGGCCACACUGGGACUGAGACACGGCCCAGACUCCUACGGGAGG